AAAAAAACAAAUCAUGAGUUUUCGUAUCCAACGUUUGACUGUUUAUCUUAUAUAAAUUUUUUUAUAAUUAGUAUUUUCAUUAUUGUUAGAUGAUAAAACAUGAUUAAUACUUUAUACGUGACUGUCUUUUUAAUUUUUUUCUUAAUUUUUUACAAAUAAGACGGACGAUCAAACACUGGACACGGAAACCUAGGGUUUGUCUUUUU
Oryza sativa Japonica Group (Japanese rice) is the source of this 206-nucleotide microRNA precursor. It matches the Rfam family "MIR812 microRNA precursor family". Lineage: Eukaryota; Viridiplantae; Streptophyta; Magnoliopsida; Poales; Poaceae. The record is from Rfam.